CGAACGGUCGCGUAACACGUAAGCAACCUGCCCAAAGACCGGACAACAUUCCGAAAGGAGUGCUAAUACCAGAUACCCCCACCAGGCCGCAUGACCAGGUGAGGAAAUGGAUUCCGCUUCGGGAGGGGCUCGCGGGCUAUCAGCUUGUUGGUGGGGUAACGGCCUACCAAGGCAACGACGGCUAGCUGGUCUGAGAGGACGACCAGCCACACUGGGACUGAGACACGGCCCAG
RNAcentral lists this ribosomal RNA (233 nucleotides) under uncultured bacterium. RNAcentral's name for it is "partial 16S ribosomal RNA". It matches the Rfam family "Bacterial small subunit ribosomal RNA", at positions 99 to 334 of the family's 1533-position model. The record is from RNAcentral.